AUGGCGUUGGCGGAGGAGAAGACGUUCCUACUCGAGACCCUGGACGGCAUGAGUUUCGUGGUGUCGGAGCGGGAGGCGAGCCAAUCCGGAGAAAUCCAUUGCGACACCAUCUGCUACCGCGGCCGGCCCAUCGACGUCAACGUCCAAGGCAAAACACUCGCCAAGGCCUUGCACUACUGCAAGAAGCACGCCUACUCCGGCGGCCACGACCUCCGCGCCUGGGACGCCAAGUUCGUCGGCGACCUAGAUCUCGAGACACUAUACGAUCUCAUCCUGGUCAGCUUCAGCGAUUUAACUCUUCUGUCACACAAAAUCCUAUUAUCUACUCUAGUUUAUGAUGGUCUAGCCUAG
RNAcentral lists this ribosomal RNA (351 nucleotides) under Triticum aestivum (bread wheat). RNAcentral's name for it is "partial small subunit ribosomal RNA". The record is from RNAcentral. Lineage: Eukaryota; Viridiplantae; Streptophyta; Magnoliopsida; Poales; Poaceae.